GACGAACGCUGGCGGCGUGCUUAACACAUGCAAGUCGAACGAAAAGGCCCGCUUUUUCUUGUGGAUUCCGUGUCCUCGGAUGGCGAACGGACGCGUAAAACGUGUGUCUUCUACCCCCGACUUAGUUAUAAGCCCGGGAACCUAUGUCUAAUUCCCUAUAGGACCGCAGGGUGGUGUCGGUGAUGGCGGUCGUUUUUCUAGUUGUAGGUGAUGAGCUCGCGGCUUAGCUGCUUGUUGGGGUGGUAAUGUCCUAACGAGGCGACGCCGAGUAGACGACCUGGGAGGGUGAGCGGCCACAGUGGAACUGAGACACGGUCACGACUCCUACGGGAGGCAGCAGUAGGGAAUCGUCCGCAAAGGGCGAAAGCCUGACGGAGCAACGCCGCGUGAGUGAUGAAGGUCUUCGGAUCGUAAAACUGUGUUAUUAGGGAAGAACAAAUGUGUAAGUAACUAUGCACGUCUUGACGGUACCUAAUCAGAAAGCCACGGCUAACUACGUG
RNAcentral lists this ribosomal RNA (500 nucleotides) under uncultured bacterium. Its description in RNAcentral is "partial 16S ribosomal RNA". It matches the Rfam family "Bacterial small subunit ribosomal RNA", at positions 28 to 507 of the family's 1533-position model. The record is from RNAcentral.